GACGAACGCUGGCGGCGUGCUUAACACAUGCAAGUCGAACGGAAAGGCCCUGCUUUUGUGGGGUGCUCGAGUGGCGAACGGGUGAGUAACACGUGAGUAACCUGCCCUUGACUUUGGGAUAACUUCAGGAAACUGGGGCUAAUACCGGAUAGGAGCUCCUGCUGCAUGGAGGGGGUUGGAAAGUUUCGGCGGUUGGGGAUGGACUCGCGGCUUAUCAGCUUGUUGGUGGGGUAGUGGCUUACCAAGGCUUUGACGGGUAGCCGGCCUGAGAGGGUGACCGGCCACAUUGGGACUGAGGUCCGGCCCAGACUCCUACGGGAGGCAGCAGUGGGGAAUAUUGCCCAAUGGGCGGAAGCCUGAUGCAGCAACGCCGCGUGCGGGAUGACGGCCUUCGGGUUGUAAACCGCUUUCGCCUGUGACGAAGCGUGAGUGACGGUAAUGGGUAAAGAAGCACCGGCUAACUACGUG
This 468-nucleotide ribosomal RNA is filed under the name uncultured bacterium. RNAcentral describes it as "partial 16S ribosomal RNA". It matches the Rfam family "Bacterial small subunit ribosomal RNA", at positions 28 to 507 of the family's 1533-position model. The record is from RNAcentral.